MicroRNA precursor from Ophiophagus hannah (king cobra), 81 nucleotides. It matches the Rfam family "mir-5470 microRNA precursor family". The record is from Rfam. Lineage: Eukaryota; Metazoa; Chordata; Lepidosauria; Squamata; Elapidae.
UUUUCUCCUCCCACAGGAUAUGAGUAACUCUUAUUGAAAUCAUGAGGCAGUUUAUUAUUCACAUCUUGUGGUAAGGGAGUA